CAGAAACUAGUUUAUAAAAACAGUUAUUUUGGGUAUAACAGAUACAGAACAAAAACUGUGUUUCUGA
This 67-nucleotide transfer RNA is filed under the name Colochirus quadrangularis. RNAcentral describes it as "tRNA-Pro". Lineage: Eukaryota; Metazoa; Echinodermata; Holothuroidea; Dendrochirotida; Cucumariidae. The record is from RNAcentral.